CCCCGCAGAAAAGGGCCAGAAGGUCCGCACCGGGUGGGGCGGGGAGAUCCGGCCGGAGCGGGCUUCCCGGAGCAGGAAGAGCUUUACCAGCCUGAGGAGGGAAGCAGGAUGAGGGCAGGCUUCCCAGGAGGUGACUUUUUAACUGUCCUGCAAAAUGAGAUCUUAGUUCCCCGACCAGGGAUCAAACCUGUGCCCACUGCAGUGGAAGCACAGGGUCUUAACCACUGGACCACCAGGGAAGUCCUAGGAAGUGAUGUAUGCAACACCAGGUGCAGUAGCAGCCAUCUUGCAAACAAGAGGGAAAAGCCAAGAAAUUGCAGAGUUGUGAACCCUGACAUCACUGGCCUGUCCUGAGCCAGGCCUGGCUAUAUCCCCACCACAGGGGAGGGAACUGCUGCUCAGAGAAGCAAAGCAGCCUGUCCAGCCCUACGGCUACAGGAGGUGCGGCAGGAGAUUUGAACUCAGGUAGAAGCUGUCCAGCCCAGGAUGGACUCUGGCUCCUCCACCUGUCCCUCUUGGGGCCUCAGUCUCCGUGUGAAAUGGGGCGCGCCGGGAGCCUGCCGUUCUGUGGUCCCGGUGGGGGCGGAGAUGUACCAGCGCGAGGAGCUGGCCUCUGCUGGCCCAGCAGGCCAGGGGUCAGCCAGGCAACCACCGCCCCUUCCACCUCCAUGUCUGGUCCCUCCCCGCU
This is a long non-coding RNA of Eubalaena glacialis (North Atlantic right whale), 688 nucleotides long. RefSeq lists it as uncharacterized. The transcript has 4 exons. Lineage: Eukaryota; Metazoa; Chordata; Mammalia; Artiodactyla; Balaenidae. The record is from RefSeq and is a predicted model, not a curated record.